This 1342-nucleotide ribosomal RNA is filed under the name metagenome. RNAcentral's name for it is "bacterial LSU rRNA". It matches the Rfam family "Bacterial large subunit ribosomal RNA", at positions 1533 to 2911 of the family's 2925-position model. The record is from RNAcentral.
CACGCGGCUUGGGGAAAUACGAUAGUACUCGGAGUCUUCGGACAAAGAGAUAGUGCGCCUAAGGGCUUCCAAGAAAAACCUCUAAACUUCAGGUAAUUAGUACCCGUACCGUAAACCGACACAGGUAGUCGAGGAGAGAAUCCUAAGGUGCUCGAGAGAUCCAUGGCUAAGGAAUUAGGCAAAAUAGACCCGUAACUUCGGGAGAAGGGUCGCCCCGAGUAAUCGGGGCCGCAGUGAAGAGGUCCAGGCGACUGUUUAUCAAAAACACAGGGCUCUGCAAAAUCGUAAGAUGAAGUAUAGGGCCUGACACCUGCCCGGUGCUGGAAGGUUAAGAGGAGAUGUUAUCUUCGGAGAAGCAUUGAAUUGAAGCCCCAGUAAACGGCGGCCGUAACUAUAACGGUCCUAAGGUAGCGAAAUUCCUUGUCGGGUAAGUUCCGACCUGCACGAAUGGUGUAACGAUCUGGACACUGUCUCAGCCAUGAGCUCGGUGAAAUUGUAGUAACGGUGAAGAUGCCGUUUACCCGCAGUGGGACGAAAAGACCCUGUGCACCUUUACUAUAGCUUAGUAUUGACCUUGGAUAAAUGAUGUGUAGGAUAGGUUGGAGACUGUGAAGUGGCGUCGCUAGGCGUUGUGGAGUCAUUGUUGAAAUACAACCCUUUGUUUAUCUGAGGCCUAACCCCGCAAACGCGGGGGACAUUGCUUGGUGGGUAGUUUGACUGGGGUGGUCGCCUCCAAAAGAGUAACGGAGGCUUCUAAAGGUUCCCUCAGUACGCUUGGUAACCGUGCGUAGAGUGCAAUGGCAUAAGGGAGCUUGACUGAGAGACAUACAGGUCGAUCAGGUACGAAAGUAGAGCAUAGUGAUCCGGUGGUUCCGCAUGGAAGGGCCAUCGCUCAAAGGAUAAAAGGUACGCCGGGGAUAACAGGCUGAUCUCCCCCAAGAGCUCAUAUCGACGGGGGGGUUUGGCACCUCGAUGUCGGCUCGUCACAUCCUGGGGCUGGAGAAGGUCCCAAGGGUUGGGCUGUUCGCCCAUUAAAGUGGCACGCGAGCUGGGUUCAGAACGUCGUGGGACAGUUCGGUCUCUAUCUACUGUGGGCGUUAGAAAUUUGAGUGGAUCUGAUUCUAGUACGAGAGGACCGAAUUGGACAAACCUCUAGUGUAUCUGUUGUCCCGCCAGGGGCACCGCAGAGUAGCUACGUUUGGAAGGGAUAAGCGCUGAAAGCAUAUAAGCGCGGAACCCACCACAAGAUGAGAUUUCUUUUAAGGGUCGUGGGAGAUGACCACGUUGAUAGGCUAUAGAUGUAAAGGCAGUAAUGUCAUAGUCGAGUAGUACUAAUAACCUG